AGCAUUGAAGGACAUUGGAGAACAAGUCAGACACAAUUCCUGUGAAAGGUCCAUGGAAACUUGAGCUGCUGGAGUCACUUGUGACCAGAUGUGUUUGGGGACCAGAGUAAAAGGUGAAGUGAUACAAGGUUACACUGAAGGCUGCUUGAGAGGUCUUUGUUCUUGUGCUGGUUUCUUAUUUCUAAUUUUUUCUAUUUUUUCUGUCUUUAGGUUAGGAAACUUAAAUGAGAGAGGGACAACUUGCAUAACUGCACUCAAGGGGUUCCAAAUUCAAGAAACUAAUGGCAGUGAGGAACUCAACUAAGCAGUGAUGACUGGUGGAGAGUGGGGAAGGCAGACAAGAUGCUCCAUUGGGAACAGAUGGCUUUCUGGAAAUCUCCCAACAAGGACUACUCCUGGAAUAGAUUUCAUCUGCAAGCCCCACGCAGAGGUAAUAUAUGAUACCUACAAAUAGAUAGUGCUCCAAAGGCUUAGGAAGGAAAAAAAUAUAUCCUGCUGGGGUUCUUAAGGCUGUUAUGACCACAAUUUCCAACAGAAGAGCAAGCAUAAAAAUGAAUCCUAUAUAUAGCAUUCAUUUUUUGAAGUUAUUUUUCUUUACUUCUAUAUAAUCUCCACAAUAGGGACAGCUAUCCUAAAAUGGUUUCUAAAGGGCUGUGUUUUACUUCUCAAGGUGGAUUAAGUACAAAGCUUGAAAUCAGUUAUAAUGUUAUCCUACUUUAAAAAAUGCUGUGAGAUGGCACACAAUAUAUGAAAUAAAUAUUGAAGUUUUCACA
This 773-nucleotide long non-coding RNA is filed under the name Parus major (Great Tit). RNAcentral's name for it is "lncRNA (ENSPMJG00000012470.1)". The record is from RNAcentral. Lineage: Eukaryota; Metazoa; Chordata; Aves; Passeriformes; Paridae.